This 505-nucleotide ribosomal RNA is filed under the name uncultured bacterium. Its description in RNAcentral is "bacterial SSU rRNA". It matches the Rfam family "Bacterial small subunit ribosomal RNA", at positions 15 to 507 of the family's 1533-position model. The record is from RNAcentral.
GAUCCUGGCUCAGGAUGAACGCUAGCUACAGGCUUAACACAUGCAAGUCGAGGGGAAACGACAUCGAAAGCUUGCUUUUGAUGGGCGUCGACCGGCGCACGGGUGAGUAACGCGUAUCCAACCUGCCCACCACUUGGGGAUAACCUUGCGAAAGUAAGACUAAUACCCAAUGAUAUCUCUAGAAGACAUCUGAAAGAGAUUAAAGAUUUAUCGGUGAUGGAUGGGGAUGCGUCUGAUUAGCUUGUUGGCGGGGUAACGGCCCACCAAGGCAACGAUCAGUAGGGGUUCUGAGAGGAAGGUCCCCCACAUUGGAACUGAGACACGGUCCAAACUCCUACGGGAGGCAGCAGUGAGGAAUAUUGGUCAAUGGGCGAGAGCCUGAACCAGCCAAGUAGCGUGCAGGAUGACGGCCCUAUGGGUUGUAAACUGCUUUUAUAAGGGAAUAAAGUUAGUCUCGUGAGACUUUUUGCAUGUACCUUAUGAAUAAGGACCGGCUAAUUCCGUG